Rhineura floridana is the source of this 2855-nucleotide long non-coding RNA. RefSeq lists it as uncharacterized. NCBI's taxonomy places the organism in Eukaryota, Metazoa, Chordata, Lepidosauria, Squamata, Rhineuridae. The transcript has 3 exons. The record is from RefSeq and is a predicted model, not a curated record.
AGGGGGGAGGGGGAGGAGACAGUCACACACACACUCUAACGGUUUUGUAUUUUUAGGUUGCAUCUUCGGGAAUGGGAAAGAUCUUGUCUUUAGGCUGAGAUCAGAUGUUUUAGAGUGUUUUUGUUUGCCACUCUGGGCUCCUCCUGGAAGGAGGGAAAUGGAAAUGGACUGCCUUCAAGUUGAUCCUGACUUAUGGCUACGCUAUGAAUAGGGAUUUCAUGAAAUCGAAGCAAUAUCACAAAAUGUAUGCUUGCCAAUUCAAGCCAUCAAUAUGUGCAACAGCAGGAAGAUCCAAACCAGUGGAGAGCAUUUACAGACAGAUCAAAGCGGCCUUUUAGCCCAGUGAAUGCUGCCGUCUUAAGUUGUCACAACAUUUGGCUUCUUUUUUUGGAUUCUUCCCGCAUAUACUCCUAAAACCAAAACAAAGAAUCACUUUUUAAUUACAAUGUUAUGUCUUUAAAAUGCCUGUUGUGCAUUACAAGCAAGUAGUAACAAUGCAGACGCAGGGAAGCUGCAGGUAUACUAUCCCUUUGCAGAGCCGUAUCUUUAAAAUAUUGUACUUGUAUAAACACCUUGAAAAUGCCUGUAAAAAGAAACCAAGGCUGUGUGCAAAUGCAGGGCACUCAACAGUAAUCAACACAAAGGAGGCAUUUUUAGCUUCUCCUAUUGCCAGCCAUAAGUAGUAUCUGCUUCUGGGAGGGCUUAAUAAUUGAACAUCAAGGAAGCAGAGCAGGUCCACAUCAAGGUGGCCUUAACAGAACAGGCAACAAGAAUGUUUUGAACUAGGGCCUUCUAUGGCCUAUAGGACAGGGAUGAGGAAUCUCAAGCCCAGGGGCCAAAUGCAGCCCUCCAAACGUCUCUACAUGGCCCGUGGGACUCUCUCCAGGCCACAUCCCUUCUCCCCAGACCAUAGCUCUCAUCGGCCCUGCUUUGCCUCUUCCUUGAGUUUUUUUGCCUGCCUGGGUAGAAUGUCCCUUUGAACUGAUAAUGCUCCUUGCUUGCCUAGAUGGAGGCUAGAGAGGGAUGCGAGAGUAAAUUAACAUGUGCUGCUCCACCCAUUUUGGCUCCUGGCCCCAUCUUUUACUGGCAUGUGGCCCUCUGAAGGUUACCUAGACAGGAAUGCAUUCUGUCAUUGCUAUAGGGGAUUGCUGCCUUCACCUUAAGUGUACCUGACGAAGCUAUAGUAAGCUUGCAAAAAUAAAUCCAGCUCCAGAAAUAUCCUUUUGAGGAAAUUCUCGCUGCCCAACACUGAAACAACAGAAAGCUGUGGCAAAAGUGGAUGGAUCAAGGAGUUGAAAGCCCACUUUUGAGUAACAAGAGACCAUAAGCCCAUGUCGUCAAAGCCCCCGUGACCUUUGGGAGGGAAGCAUCUUGUAUGUUACAUCUUUGAAAACAAAGUUCACCAAGAAUCUUUACUUUUUUCUCACUUGGAAAACAUAGUAAUGGGGAGGAAACCAAGCUUAGUGGUAAGGUCCCACAUUCAGUUCCUGACGGCUCUAGUUAAAAAAGGGAUCAAGUAGAAAGCGAUGUGAAAAGACUUCCGCCUGACAGCAGAAGGAGACAAUGCUAGGCUAGAUGGAACAGAGGAAGUAAGCUUAUGCAGAAUGGGAGCAUUGGGCCAUCUAGCUUAGUAUCAUCCACUCUGACGGGCAGUGGCUCUCCAGGAUUUCAAACAGGGUUCCCUCUCAGCCCCACCUGGAGAUGCCAGGGAUUGAACCUGGGAUCUUCUGCAUGCCAAGGAGAUGCUCUGCCCCUGAGCUACAGCUCCUUCCCCCCCCCAAUAGCCUUGACCUGGAAUAAGACCACUCCCUAUAUUCCAAACACUCACAAAAGGAACAGAUGUUCCUUUUGUCCAGCCUUUGGCAUAAAAUCACCCUAAUGUACCUACCAGUUUGGAUCAUUUGUGCAUGUUAUGCCUUGGGUCUAAUUUCCAGAGACAAUGCUUGAAGAUAAAGGUUACCAACUUUCAAUUAAAAAUAUGAAAAAAAAAAUGAUUAAACGAGUUAAAAAGAACGAUGAAGAAAUACACACGAUGCUCAAAGAAGAAAUAAUGGUAAGGAUAUGGCACAGUUCAGUGGGUUUCCAUAACAUUCUGCCAUCAGAGAACCCUCUCCAUAUCAAUUUGCUUGCCACAAGACUGUCAAUGGACAAGCACUAAACCACUGGCACCCUAUUAAUGUUAAAGCUAAAAGAUCAGAGGGCACGAUGCCAGCCCACCUCAGUUGCUACCACUCUCUCUUUGGGGGGGCUUCACAUCAGGAAAAGGGGGAGUGGGUGACAGGGCAGAGGUUGGCCUCUUCUGUCAUUGGCAGAGCUCUCCAUUUCUGGGCCCAAUUCACAGUGCUAGUUUUGACCUUUAAAGACCCUCCCUCCUAUCUGAUUCCCUUCAGUUAUAUUUGGCAUGGCCAAAAGUUGGGGAUUAUGGGGGUCCAGCAACAUUUGGAGGGCACCAAGCAGGGGAACGCUACCCUACCCCAAGAUUUUCAAUGGAGACUCUUCUCUGGGUGCCCCCGCCAUUUGAGCUACGGGCCUUUCCAGAGGUGAACAGCAAAUUAUGAAAUGCUCUCCCCAGGAAGAUAAGCCGGAAAUCUGCCUUGUCAUCAUUUAUGCACCAUUCAAAUAACUUUGUCUUCCUACACCUUCCAACUCAAUCUGCUCACUUGAAUAUCUAAGAGUUUUUAUGCUGCUUUUAGACUUUGCUUUACUUUAACAUUGUUUGAUUUUAACUGAAUUUUUAGCUUUUCUGAGCUGCCUGGGGAUUUAUCGGAAAGACGGAGUAAAAACCUCAGUGUUCCCUCCCCCCCUUUAGGGAAGGGAAGGUAAAGCAGGCAAAGGAGAACACUGUUAAUGCAAGA